RNAcentral lists this ribosomal RNA (599 nucleotides) under uncultured bacterium. RNAcentral's name for it is "bacterial SSU rRNA". It matches the Rfam family "Bacterial small subunit ribosomal RNA", at positions 144 to 755 of the family's 1533-position model. The record is from RNAcentral.
UAAGCCUGGGAAACUGGGUCUAAUACCGGGAUAUGACUCCAUGACGCAUGUUGUGGGGUGGAAAGCCUUGUGCGGCUAGGGAUGGGCCCGCGGCCUAUCAGCUUGUUGGUGGGGUGAUGGCCUACCAAGGCGACGACGGGUAGCCGGCCUGAGAGGGCGACCGGCCACACUGGGACUGAGACACGGCCCAGACUCCUACGGGAGGCAGCAGUGGGGAAUCUUGCGCAAUGGGCGAAAGCCUGACGCAGCGACGCCGCGUGAGGGAUGACGGCCUUCGGGUUGUAAACCUCUUUCAGCUCCGACGAAGCGGAAGUGACGGUAGGAGCAGAAGAAGCACCGGCCAACUACGUGCCAGCAGCCGCGGUAAUACGUAGGGUGCAAGCGUUGUCCGGAAUUAUUGGGCGUAAAGAGCUCGUAGGCGGUUUGUCGCGUCGGCUGUGAAAACUCGGGGCUCAACUCCGAGCUUGCAGUCGAUACGGGCAGACUAGAGUUCGGCAGGGGAGACUGGAAUUCCUGGUGUAGCGGUGAAAUGCGCAGAUAUCAGGAGGAACACCGGUGGCGAAGGCGGGUCUCUGGGCCGAUACUGACGCUGAGGAGCG